AAAACCCCAGCUCUGCUGCUGAAAUUGGACAUCUCCAAAGCGUUUGAUAGCGUGUCUUGGGAUUACUUACUGGAGCUAUUGCAAGAGCUGGGUUUCAGCACUAGAUGGAGAGAUUGGAUCGCCUGGUUGUUGGCUUCAUCACGCUCGGAGUUCCUGCUAAAUGGAGUGCCAGGGAGGAAAAUCCAGCACCGCAAGGGCCUUCGCGAGGGUGAUCCACUCUCCCCUCUACCGUUUAUCCUAGCCAUGGACCCGUUGCAACGCCUGAUUGAUAUAGCAGUCCAGCGGCAGAUGAUGCAACCAUUGCCAAGAAGGGAACUGAAACUAAGGGUCAGUCUCUACGCGGAUGAUGCGGUCGUUUUCAUGAACCCA
Molecule: ribosomal RNA, 369 nt
Filed under: Triticum aestivum (bread wheat)
Lineage: Eukaryota; Viridiplantae; Streptophyta; Magnoliopsida; Poales; Poaceae
Description: partial small subunit ribosomal RNA
Source: RNAcentral